Molecule: ribosomal RNA, 704 nt
Filed under: uncultured Bacilli bacterium
Lineage: Bacteria; Bacillati; Bacillota; Bacilli
Description: bacterial SSU rRNA
Rfam family: Bacterial small subunit ribosomal RNA
Source: RNAcentral
UACAUGCAAGUCGAGCGAAGUUUUCUGGUGCUUGCACUAGAAAAACUUAGCGGCGAACGGGUGAGUAACACGUAAAGAACCUGCCUCAUAGACGGGGACAACUAUUGGAAACGAUAGCUAAUACCGGAUAACAGCAUAGAUCGCAUGAUAUAUGUUUAAAAGUUGGUUUCGGCUAACACUAUGAGAUGGCUUUGCGGUGCAUUAGCUAGUUGGUGGGGUAAAGGCCUACCAAGGCGACGAUGCAUAGCCGACCUGAGAGGGUGAUCGGCCACACUGGGACUGAGACACGGCCCAGACUCCUACGGGAGGCAGCAGUAGGGAAUCUUCCGCAAUGGGCGAAAGCCUGACGGAGCAACGCCGCGUGAGUGAAGAAGGAUUUCGGUUCGUAAAGCUCUGUUGUUAGGGAAGAAUGAUUGUAUAGUAACUAUAUACAGUAGAGACGGUACCUAACCAGAAAGCCACGGCUAACUACGUGCCAGCAGCCGCGGUAAUACGUAGGUGGCAAGCGUUGUCCGGAAUUAUUGGGCGUAAAGCGCGCGCAGGUGGUUUAAUAAGUCUGAUGUGAAAGCCCACGGCUCAACCGUGGAGGGUCAUUGGAAACUGUUAAACUUGAGUGCAGGAGAGAAAAGUGGAAUUCCUAGUGUAGCGGUGAAAUGCGUAGAGAUUAGGAGGAACACCAGUGGCGAAGGCGGCUUUUUGGCCUG